RNAcentral lists this ribosomal RNA (300 nucleotides) under uncultured Fulvivirga sp. Its description in RNAcentral is "partial 16S ribosomal RNA". The stretch from base 51 to 300 matches the Rfam family "Bacterial small subunit ribosomal RNA", at positions 547 to 795 of the family's 1533-position model. The record is from RNAcentral. Lineage: Bacteria; Pseudomonadati; Bacteroidota; Cytophagia; Cytophagales; Fulvivirgaceae.
CCACUGCGGGGGAAGGGGGGGGGGAAAUCCGGGGGGGGCGAGUGUUGUGCGGAGUCGUUGGGGGUGAAGGUCUGGUGGGCGGUUUGGAAAGGCGGGGUUGAAAUCUCCGGGCUCAACUCGGAGGGGCCACUCGAUACUGCUAUGACUAGAGUCCGGUAGGGGACUAUGGAAUUCCUGGUGUAGCGGUGAAAUGCGCAGAUAUCAGGAGGAACACCGGUGGCGAAGGCGGUAGUCUGGGCCGGUACUGACGCUGAGGAGCGAAAGCGUGGGGAGCGAACAGGAUUUGAUACCCCGGUAGUC